AGUAAUGUCUGGGAAACUGCCUGAUGGAGGGGGAUAACUACUGGAAACGGUAGCUAAUACCGCAUAACGUCGCAAGACCAAAGAGGGGGACCUUCGGGCCUCUUGCCAUCGGAUGUGCCCAGAUGGGAUUAGCUAGUAGGUGGGGUAACGGCUCACCUAGGCGACGAUCCCUAGCUGGUCUGAGAGGAUGACCAGCCACACUGGAACUGAGACACGGUCCAGACUCCUACGGGAGGCAGCAGUGGGGAAUAUUGCACAAUGGGCGCAAGCCUGAUGCAGCCAUGCCGCGUGUAUGAAGAAGGCCUUCGGGUUGUAAAGUACUUUCAGCGGGGAGGAAGGGAGUAAAGUUAAUACCUUUGCUCAUUGACGUUACCCGCAGAAGAAGCACCGGCUAACUCCGUGCCAGCAGCCGCGGUAAUACGGAGGGUGCAAGCGUUAAUCGGAAUU
This 447-nucleotide ribosomal RNA is filed under the name Shigella flexneri. RNAcentral describes it as "bacterial SSU rRNA". It matches the Rfam family "Bacterial small subunit ribosomal RNA", at positions 109 to 552 of the family's 1533-position model. The record is from RNAcentral. Lineage: Bacteria; Pseudomonadati; Pseudomonadota; Gammaproteobacteria; Enterobacterales; Enterobacteriaceae.